AAAGGCUUGUUUUGUCGAUCAAGGGCAUAAAUGACAUUUGCUCUGCCAUUAAUUAUUUAGGUAUAAAAUCGCUUUAUUUCCUUCACCAUAUAUCUGACACAAAUUCUAGAACUCUCCCUAUUUUUCUGAAGCACUGCUCUCUUAGUAUAUCCGUUCUUCUUCUCUAAUUUCAGGUAAGCCCUCAAUUUUGAUUUAAUCUUUUUCUGCUUCUUUUCAAAAAAUUGUCGGUGUUACGCUGAAAAUAAUUGUUGUUGUUAUUAUUCAUUUUAACUUUCUCUUCUAUAUCCUUGUUCAUCCCAUAUAUUCUAAAGAAAAGUGAAUUAGUGAAGGUCUUAUUUUGGGCAAAAUAGUUUCUAGCUCUUGUGCAAUUUCUCGAAUUUCAGACUGCUUUGCGAAUUUCUGGUUACUAUUCGGUAAAGAAUAUCUGGUAUUGUGCAAGACUGAAUUUGCUAAAUUUCAUGUCACUCUCUUCAAAUAUUCGCUGCUCAUCGGGUAUCUGUUUUAGGCCUUGUUCUCCGGUGAUACGUUUAUUGCUCAACUUCAGAGUUCUCCUUCGCUUCUUACAAGUAUCAUCUCUCUAUUUUGGAGUAUUUCUCAACUCUCUUAUGUACUUUUUUCUGUUCUUUAGGCCGCUUAGUUGAUUUAAUGGUAAAUAUUUUU
This 660-nucleotide long non-coding RNA is filed under the name Nicotiana tabacum (common tobacco). RNAcentral describes it as "long non-coding RNA (NTAB_LNC003989)". The record is from RNAcentral. Lineage: Eukaryota; Viridiplantae; Streptophyta; Magnoliopsida; Solanales; Solanaceae.